RNAcentral lists this unclassified non-coding RNA (285 nucleotides) under air metagenome. Its description in RNAcentral is "partial contains small subunit ribosomal RNA, internal transcribed spacer 1, and 5.8S ribosomal RNA". The stretch from base 1 to 46 matches the Rfam family "Eukaryotic small subunit ribosomal RNA", at positions 1786 to 1831 of the family's 1831-position model. The record is from RNAcentral.
AAGUCGUAACAAGGUUUCCGUAGGUGAACCUGCGGAAGGAUCAUUAACGUAUCUCUGACGGGGUGUGGUGCGCCCUGCUCCGGCCCAACAGGGCCGUGCAGCGGGUGCGCCGCCCCCGUUCAAACCUUACAAACCCACUGUGAACAUUACUGGCGGAGGGGGGCUCGGUCCUGUGCCGCGUCCUCCGAGGCCACACUACCAAACUCGAGUCGCAAAGAAUGUCGUGCGGACGUUGUGCCGCCUAAAAACAUGUAACAACUUUCAACAACGGAUCUCUUGGCUCUC